GCCGGGCGCGGUGGCUCACGCCUGUAGUCCCAGCACUUUGGGAGGCGGAGGUGGGUGGAUUGCUUGAGGUCAGGAGUUCGAGACCAGCCUGGCCAACAUAGCGAAAACCCAUCUCUA
Molecule: non-coding RNA, 117 nt
Organism: Nomascus leucogenys (northern white-cheeked gibbon)
Lineage: Eukaryota; Metazoa; Chordata; Mammalia; Primates; Hylobatidae
Rfam family: Metazoan signal recognition particle RNA
About the family: The signal recognition particle (SRP) is a universally conserved ribonucleoprotein. It is involved in the co-translational targeting of proteins to membranes.
Source: Rfam